Molecule: ribosomal RNA, 78 nt
Filed under: Proteus mirabilis
Lineage: Bacteria; Pseudomonadati; Pseudomonadota; Gammaproteobacteria; Enterobacterales; Morganellaceae
Also listed under: 1 other name
Description: partial 16S ribosomal RNA
Rfam family: Bacterial small subunit ribosomal RNA
Source: RNAcentral
UUUAAUUGAAGAGUUUGAUCAUGGCUCAGAUUGAACGCUGGCGGCAGGCCUAACACAUGCAAGUCGAGCGGUAACAGG